UUGACCAUGAUUAACACACAUUGAAUCAAGUUCAUCCCACAGACCUUUUAGCUUAUUAAAAUACGAAGCUAUAUCUAAGGACCCUUGAGAGGUGUGGGAUAACUCUCUUUUCAAUUCAAAGAUUUUGGUCCUGUUUGCAGUGCUAUAUCUGGCCUGGAGUUGGGACCACAUGCUCUGUGCAGUAUCAGAGUACUGCACAGAUUCAGCAAUUUGAGGGGAGAGGGAAGCAGUUAACCAAGAAAUCACCAUGUUGUUGCACCUAUCCAACAACCUUUGUUGAGCCACAUUAAUGGCAGGUCCGGAGUAUGUGCCAUCAACAAAACCAAUUUUGUUUUUGGCUGAUAAAGCAACAAUCAUUUUACGUCUCCAGCCCCCAUAACCACUACCCGAGAAGG
Molecule: long non-coding RNA, 395 nt
Filed under: Nicotiana benthamiana
Lineage: Eukaryota; Viridiplantae; Streptophyta; Magnoliopsida; Solanales; Solanaceae
Description: long non-coding RNA (NBEN_LNC008304)
Source: RNAcentral